This 484-nucleotide ribosomal RNA is filed under the name Enterobacter hormaechei. RNAcentral's name for it is "bacterial SSU rRNA". It matches the Rfam family "Bacterial small subunit ribosomal RNA", at positions 30 to 499 of the family's 1533-position model. The record is from RNAcentral. Lineage: Bacteria; Pseudomonadati; Pseudomonadota; Gammaproteobacteria; Enterobacterales; Enterobacteriaceae.
AUUGAACGCUGGCGGCAGGCCUAACACAUGCAAGUCGAACGGUAACAGGAAGCAGCUUGCUGCUUUGCUGACGAGUGGCGGACGGGUGAGUAAUGUCUGGGAAACUGCCUGAUGGAGGGGGAUAACUACUGGAAACGGUAGCUAAUACCGCAUAACGUCGCAAGACCAAAGAGGGGGACCUUCGGGCCUCUUGCCAUCGGAUGUGCCCAGAUGGGAUUAGCUAGUAGGUGGGGUAACGGCUCACCUAGGCGACGAUCCCUAGCUGGUCUGAGAGGAUGACCAGCCACACUGGAACUGAGACACGGUCCAGACUCCUACGGGAGGCAGCAGUGGGGAAUAUUGCACAAUGGGCGCAAGCCUGAUGCAGCCAUGCCGCGUGUAUGAAGAAGGCCUUUCGGGUUGUAAAGUACUUUUCAGCGGGGAGGAAGGCGAUAAGGUUAAUAACCUUGUUCGAUUGACGUUACCCCGCAGAAGACACCCGCUA